ACAGUCCUUAUCCUGGAAGAUAUGUUCCUAACCAAUCCAUUCUCUAAGUGAAGUGAAGCGUGCUGGCUGCUGGUCUUCCUUUGGGGAAAAUACACAUCCUCAUCCUGGAAGCUAUGUUUUGUUCCUAACCAAUCCAUUCUCUAAGUGAAGUGAA
Molecule: long non-coding RNA, 154 nt
Organism: Saccostrea cuccullata (small rock oyster)
Lineage: Eukaryota; Metazoa; Mollusca; Bivalvia; Ostreida; Ostreidae
Exons: 2
Source: RefSeq, a predicted model, not a curated record